AUGCCUUCCACACCUUCCAUGGCACCAGAUCCACUGAAUAAUGCUUCAAAUUCUUACUAUAUGCUACUUCGAGUGUUGUUCUUUCGUUUGGUCCUCGGUCUUCAAGUUGAGUCUUCCCUUUCCAUGGAGAUAAUUGCCUUUUGGUUGUGGCUCCAACAAGGGAAUGGCCAAGUUGGUUACCUUGAGCACAUAUACUCUCUUGGUGACAAUCAUUUUCGCGCAAUUGCUUCUUCCGCAAAACGUUUUCUGGAAGUUCUCCAUUUUGCGUUUGAUGGUUCAGAGGCUAGAUCUAUACCAAGAAGUGACUUUCAGAAUCAAGCUAUUGAAGGAAUUUCUCUCUACCUCAAUACUAUCUGUUAUGAGGCCUUAGAAGAUCUUCGAGAAAGGAUAGAGAUGAAAUUUGUCCGUAAUCAGAUGAGAUACCUGCGCCAAGAAGCCUAUGGACAGUCCAGGACAGAUCGGGUUCCUGCUGCAAGCUCGAUGACAGAUCUAUACCAAGAGGCCUAUGGAGAAUCAUCGCAUGAACAGAUUCCUAAUAUCUCAAUGACAGAUCUAUACCAAGAGGUCUAUGGAGAAUCAUCGCAUGAACAGAUUCCUAAUAGAUCGAAACACCUUCUUACCAAGAUCAAGGCUUUGUAUGCUAACAAUCCGAAGCAUCAUGGAGAAGGCACAAGUUCUAGAAAUAUCCAUGUUCAAACAAGUCAAUUGCGUCAUGGAGAAUGCUCAAGUUCAAGUAACAUCCAUGCUCAAACAAGUCAUAUGCUCCGCCAUGACUAUCAGUCCACCUCCCAUUUGGCAGCAUUGCUGGAUAAGUUGAUCUUAAGAGAGAACCAUAAUGAUGCAAUCACGCAACAACUAUCUGAUAUUCCAAUUCCACCUGAUGAGAGAACUUUGUUCGUGACAUUUUCUAAUGGCUACCCACUGACCAAAGAUGAACUACAUGAAUUUUUUAUGAGGCACUAUGGAGAUAUUGAAGAAAUAAGUGUAGAGGAGCCAAUCGAAAGUAGGCCACCACUUUACGCACACGUUACAUUUUACUCGCAGAUGACACUAUUCCGUGUUCUUGAUGGGAACAGGAGAGUCAAGUUCAUGACCAGGGGAAAACAUCUAUGGGCUCGACAGUAUGUGCCAAAGAAGAAGAAACCUGAUGUCUGA
RNAcentral lists this ribosomal RNA (1155 nucleotides) under Triticum aestivum (bread wheat). RNAcentral's name for it is "partial small subunit ribosomal RNA". The record is from RNAcentral. Lineage: Eukaryota; Viridiplantae; Streptophyta; Magnoliopsida; Poales; Poaceae.